This is a long non-coding RNA of Gorilla gorilla gorilla (western lowland gorilla), 462 nucleotides long. RefSeq lists it as uncharacterized. Lineage: Eukaryota; Metazoa; Chordata; Mammalia; Primates; Hominidae. The record is from RefSeq and is a predicted model, not a curated record. The transcript has 2 exons.
CUGCUUAUUUUAUGUGCUAAAAUUGUGUACCUACCUGGUAUACCUAGCUGAUUGUAUUUUAAGUGAUCAUCUCUUAGAUUUCUUUUUUUUCUCAAAGUAUUAACAAAUCAUGUUAAUCCCCCUUUUAGUUUUUUUUUGUUUUGUUUUGUUUUUGAGACAGGUUCUCUGUCGCCUAGGCUGGAGGGCAGUGGCACGAUCAUGGCUUACUGCAGCCUCAACCUCCCAGGCUCAGAGAUGGGCUCUCGCUAUAUUGCCUGGGCUAGUCUUGAACUCCUGGCUUCAAGCAAUCCUCCCACCUCAACCUCACAAAGUGCUAGGAUUACAGGCGUGAGCCACCGUGCCCAGCCUGUAGAUACUUUGUAUUGUUUCACUCUUGGAUGUGUUCUGAUCUUUUCCCCUCAAAAACAGUAGAAUUAUUAAGUAUGUUCUUUGAUUUUUGAAUAAACCAGAUGUGAUUCCAGA